This 251-nucleotide ribosomal RNA is filed under the name Escherichia coli. RNAcentral describes it as "partial 23S ribosomal RNA". It matches the Rfam family "Bacterial large subunit ribosomal RNA", at positions 685 to 934 of the family's 2925-position model. Lineage: Bacteria; Pseudomonadati; Pseudomonadota; Gammaproteobacteria; Enterobacterales; Enterobacteriaceae. The record is from RNAcentral.
UAACUGGGCGUUAAGUUGCAGGGUAUAGACCCGAAACCCGGUGAUCUAGCCAUGGGCAGGUUGAAGGUUGGGUAACACUAACUGGAGGACCGAACCGACUAAUGUUGAAAAAUUAGCGGAUGACUUGUGGCUGGGGGUGAAAGGCCAAUCAAACCGGGAGAUAGCUGGUUCUCCCCGAAAGCUAUUUAGGUAGCGCCUCGUGAAUUCAUCUCCGGGGGUAGAGCACUGUUUCGGCAAGGGGGUCAUCCCGA